RNAcentral lists this transfer RNA (95 nucleotides) under Lentinula raphanica. RNAcentral's name for it is "tRNA-Arg". It matches the Rfam family "tRNA". From Rfam's summary of the family: Transfer RNA (tRNA) molecules are approximately 80 nucleotides in length. Their secondary structure includes four short double-helical elements and three loops (D, anti-codon, and T loops). The record is from RNAcentral. Lineage: Eukaryota; Fungi; Basidiomycota; Agaricomycetes; Agaricales; Omphalotaceae.
GGCCGCCUGGCGAAAUGGCAUCGCGUCUGACUACGAUUCGAAGGUUUCACUGUGUUUUAAUCAGGAGAUUGCAGGUUCGACCCCUGCGGUGGUCA